RNAcentral lists this ribosomal RNA (484 nucleotides) under uncultured bacterium. RNAcentral's name for it is "partial 16S ribosomal RNA". It matches the Rfam family "Bacterial small subunit ribosomal RNA", at positions 30 to 507 of the family's 1533-position model. The record is from RNAcentral.
AUUGAACGCUGGCGGCAGGCCUAACACAUGCAAGUCGAGCGGAUGAAGGGAGCUUGCUCCUGGAUUCAGCGGCGGACGGGUGAGUAAUGCCUAGGAAUCUGCCUGGUAGUGGGGGAUAACGUCCGGAAACGGGCGCUAAUACCGCAUACGUCCUGAUGGUGAAAGGGGGGGAUCUUCGGACCUCACGCUAUCAGAUGAGCCUAGGUCGGAUUAGCUAGUUGGUGGGGUAAAGGCCUACCAAGGCGACGAUCCGUAACUGGUCUGAGAGGAUGAUCAGUCACACUGGAACUGAGACACGGUCCAGACUCCUACGGGAGGCAGCAGUGGGGAAUAUUGGACAAUGGGCGAAAGCCUGAUCCAGCCAUGCCGCGUGUGUGAAGAAGGUCUUCGGAUUGUAAAGCACUGUUAGUUGGGAGGAAGGGCAGUAAGUUAAUACCUUGCUGUUUUGACGUUACCAACAGAAUAAGCACCGGCUAACUUCGUG